This 500-nucleotide ribosomal RNA is filed under the name uncultured bacterium. RNAcentral describes it as "partial 16S ribosomal RNA". It matches the Rfam family "Bacterial small subunit ribosomal RNA", at positions 30 to 523 of the family's 1533-position model. The record is from RNAcentral.
AUUGAACGCUGGCGGAAUGCUUUACACAUGCAAGUCGAACGGCAGCACGGACUUCGGUCUGGUGGCGAGUGGCGAACGGGUGAGUACUGUAUCGGAACGUGCCCAGUCGUGGGGGAUAACGUAGUGAAAAUUACGCUAAUACCGCAUACGAUCUAUGGAUGAAAGCGGGGGAUCGCAAGACCUCCCGCGAUUGUAGCGGCCGAUAUCAGAUUAGGGAGUUGGUGGGGUAAAGGCCCACCAAGCCAACGAUCUGUAGCUGGUCUGAGAGGACGACCAGCCACACUGGAACUGAGACACGGUCCAGACUCCUACGGGAGGCAGCAGUGGGGAAUUUUGGACAAUGGGCGAAAGCCUGAUCCAGCCAUUCCGCGUGCAGGAUGAAGGCCCUCGGGUUGUAAACUGCUUUUGUACAGAACGAAAAGGUUUCUACUAAUACUAGGAGCUCAUGACGGUACUGUAAGAAUAAGCACCGGCUAACUACGUGCCAGCAGCCGCAGUAA